This 4174-nucleotide long non-coding RNA is filed under the name Chlamydomonas reinhardtii. Its description in RNAcentral is "long non-coding RNA (CREI_LNC000283)". Lineage: Eukaryota; Viridiplantae; Chlorophyta; Chlorophyceae; Chlamydomonadales; Chlamydomonadaceae. The record is from RNAcentral.
GGUGGUGGCGAACGGCAGCGUCAGCGGCAGCCCCAGUAGCGCCGCCGCCGCCAGUGGUGUGCCGGUGGUGGAUUCCGGCACCUUUGCCCAUAUCACGCCGCUGCGUCAGCUGCUUCACAACUUCACGCCCCGCUCGAGGGUGAGGCAAGUGCUGUGGGGGGAUGGCCACAGCAGCCCGGUCGGGGGAUCGGGCACUCUCCGGAUGCUCUCCGGGCGGCAGCGUGUUGAUGUGACGGGUGUGCUGUAUGUGCCAGCCGCCCAGCUCUCCCUGCUAUCUGUGCGCCGGCUGACGGCCAGCGGCGUGAAGGUAGUGUUCGAGGGGGAGACAGUGACCUUAGCGCAGGGUGGCCGCAACCUCCUCAGCGGCCGCCUGCGCGAUGGUCUGUUCCCGCUGUCUGUUACCAUGCUGCCCGUCGCGCUGGCGGCGCCCGCCGUGGCGCCGCCGGCUGCCGGCGGCGGCCCCGCCGCGCCUCCGGGCGGCGGCGGUGGUGCCGCCGCCAACGGCAGUAACACCGGUGUACACCCCAAUCCCGCCGCCGCGCUUUCGGGCCGCGGCGGCACCACCAGCAGCAGCAGCCUCAGCGGCUCCGGCACUAUGAGCAGUAGCAGCAGCAUUGGUGCGGCCGCGCCUUCGGGCGGCGGCGGCGCCAGCAGCAGCACCAGCUCGCCGGCGGCUUCUCUGGGCGCUGCGCUCCGUCUGCACCGCCGGUUCGGCCAUCUCGGCUGGACUGCGCUGAUGCAGAUGGUGGGUGGGUCCCUUGUCACCGGCCUGGAUGUUGAUCUGUGCGCACUUAGCCAGGCAGCCGGGUCGGUGUGCAGCACCUGCAUUGAGGCCAAGGCGGCCUCUCUGCCCUUCCCGAAUAGCAGUAGCGAGCCGCCACAGCCUCUGGCUCUGGCGCACUCUGACGUGUGCGGCCCCAUGCCCACCGUGGGCCGUGGUGGCGCACGCUACUUCACCACGCUGCUUGACGCCGCCACCGGCCUAUCAGCUGUUCGGUUGCUGCCCACCAGGGACCACGCUGGUGUAGCGCUGCAGGAGAUGAUUGCGCAGUUCGAGAGUCACUGCCGCGAUGGCGGCAAGCUGCGCAUCCUCCGCAGCGACAACGGCGGCGAGUACCACGCUGAGCAGCUGGAGCAGUGGCUGCGUGAGCGCAGCACCGCGCACCAGUUCAGCGCGCCGUACACGCCGCAGCAGAACGGUGUGGCCGAGCGGCUCAACCGCACCCUGAUGGAGCGCACUCGCGCCCUGCUGUUUGAGGCUGUGCUCCCCCCCAGCUUCUGGCCUGAAGCUGUGGUGCAUGCCUGCCAUGUGCGCAACUUAAGUCCCUCCACCAGCUGCAGCAGCACGCCGUGGGAGGCCUUCACCGGCAACAAGCCUAACGUUGCCGACCUGCGCAUCUUCGGCUGCCGCGUCUAUGUCACCAAACCCGCCGACAGCCGCUCCAAGCUCAGCCCGCAUGCCGACAUCGGCACGUACCUGGGCCUGCAGCGCAGCUCCGCCGCAUCUCGCGUGCUGGUCGGCGGCAAAGUGGUGGUGAGCCGGGACAUAGAGUUCGAUGAGGAUGUACGGGGUCCGGCGUCGCGGCUGGCGGGCACACCGUUCGGGGUAACGGCGGAUGCGAGUGGUGGUGGUGGUGGCAGUAGCAGUGCUGCAACGCCCUCGGCCGGCGCUGACCCGGCGCCUCCCCAGGCGCCGGCGGCGCCGGCCAACGGCACACCUCCCCCCACUACGCUGCCGGCGCCUCCCCAGGCGCCGGCAGCCGGGCCCUCACGGCCCGCCACCCGCAGUCAACGCCCCUCACUAACGCCGGCCCUCGGCGCCGUCAGUGAGCCUCCGCUGUCAACUGCCGCAUCCGCGGCGGCGGGCGGCGGGGGUGGCAGCAGUAGCAGCGCCGCCUCGGCUGCAGCAGCGGCCGCUCAGCUGUUUGAUAGCGACAGCGACGACGAGACGCCGGCGCUGGCGCCAGCCUCAGAUGAUGAGGACAGCUACAGCAGCAGCGCUGCGAUGACUGCGGCUGCGGACACCGGCGACCCCCGCAGCUAUUCGGAGGCCACUAACGGACCACAAGCUGCGGAGUGGCGCGCCGCUAUGGAGGAGGAGAUGAAGGCUCAACGCGCACACGGCACCUGGCAGCUAGCGGAGCCGCCCCCAGGCGCGCGUCUGCUGGCCAAUCGCUGGGUCUUCAAGACCAAUGUUGGUGAGUUGGGGGCUCGCGGUGCUAGUGGCCCGCGAGGGGAGGCAGCCCAACCCUAGGGUGCAGCCGUGUGGCGGUUUGCCGGAUGGGUCAGACUGCCAGGUACGAGGUUGCGAGGGGCUGCCGCCCGUCUGUGUGGCGCGCUUCCGAGCGCUUGCUUUGUUAACCACACGCGCCAUAAGUCUUCCCCCACUACCGGUGCCAGACAGCAUAGCUGUAUCGCGUGUGAAGCACCCGCAGCCAGCAACAGCGUCAGCCGAGCCAAAAUCCUCAGCAGGUUAUGAGCCCCGCGCCGCGAUAACCCGCGCGCGGUCGGCCGCUUAGCUAGCUAGGUAGUAUGGGGGACUAUAGUGGAGUAAUGUUGUUAGAGGACGCGUCAAACUACUUUGCGUGGCGUCGCAGCCUGUUGGACCACCUGAACUCCCGGCGUGUGCCUCUCGGAGAAUAUCUCUUCGCCUACGCUCCGAUGACGCCUCGCACGGCGCGCGAGCUGGCUGAUGAGAGUGCUGCAGCCGCCAGUUUGCUGCGCAUGUCCUGCAGUGAGGGCGUUGCGCAGCAACUCGCACUCGCUCAGCACGCCUACGAGGCGCACGCCUACGUCAUCCAGCUGUUCCGCCAGUCAGCGCCGCUGAAACUGGCGCAGUUCGAGUCAGCGAUGAGUUCUGCCUGCGAGAGGGCGAGACCAUUGCCUCUUACUUCCUGCGCGCCAGUGACCUGCGGGACCGCAUCGGCGCGGUCGGCGGCUCGUGGACCGACCAGCAGGUGCGACUCAAGCUGCUGGCCGGUCUGCCCAAGCCGCGCUGGGAGAACAUCUGCGACAUCUGCUACGCCUCUCCAGGCCAGACCCUGCAGCAGCUUUGCGGUUAUUUAAUGCAGCAGGAGUUCAUUAAGAACCAGGAGCAGGCGCGCAGCGGGCACGUCGGCGCCGUCAACCGCAGCGGCGGCCGCGCCGGUGCCGCCGGCAGUGCCGGCGGCGGCCAAGGCGGCGGCGCCGCCAGCAGCAGCGCCAUUAUCUGCCACUACUGCGAGCAGCCUGCUGGCCACAUUCGGUCCCACUGCCGCGUGCGCCUGGCCGAUGUUGCGGCCGGCAUCUUCCGCGCUGACAUCCGCUCGCCGCCCCAGCUGAAGCAGUCCGGCGGCGGCGGUGGUGGCGGCGGUGGAGGCGGCAGUGGUGGCGGUGGUGGCGGCGGUGCCGGCGGCCCCAAAGGUGGCGACAGCGGAGGAGGUAAGAAGCGCGGUGGGCGGAGCGGCGGGAGCAGGGGUGCCUCGGGUGGCGCCGGCACUGCCGUCUCCAAGACUGCGCACGUGCUGGUUGUGCGGGGUGUUGAGGACUGGGCCGUGCCUGACGCCGGCAGCAGUCUAAUCGUCCGCACCUAUGGCGCCGAGUCGGCUGGCUCGGGCGUCAGCAGUGGCUACGGCACGGCCGACGGCGGCAUGCCCAGCUCCGGCGUGGUGGAGGGCCACGCCGGUGGCAGUAGCACCAGCACUUACUGCUACAGCGCGGCCGUCAGCGGCUCUCGCAGCAGUAGCACCAUCGGCAGCGCCCCGCCUCCCCUGGGCGGUGGCUGCAGCCUGAUCAACAUGGUCCGCGCGGCGUUCCGGCGCCUUCGCAGCGGACCCAACAGCAGCAGCGCAGGAGCAGGAGUCUCCAGCAGCAGCAGCGGCAGUGCCGGGCUUGCGAGUUCCGGCGGCCGCUCGAGUGUCGUCUGCAAUAGCGGAGACACCGUGCUGUAUCCCUCCAGCAGCAGCAGCGUCGGGGUGGUGGCGAACGGCAGCGUCAGCGGCAGCCCCAGUAGCGCCGCCGCCGCCAGUGGUGUGCCGGUGGUGGAUUCCGGCACCUUUGCCCAUAUCACGCCGCUGCGUCAGCUGCUUCACAACUUCACGCCCCGCUCGAGGGUGAGGCAAGUGCUGUGGGGGGAUGGCCACAGCAGCCCGGUCGGGGGAUCGGGCACUCUCCGGAUGCUCUCCGGGCGGCAGCG